RNAcentral lists this ribosomal RNA (455 nucleotides) under Candidatus Omnitrophota bacterium. RNAcentral describes it as "bacterial LSU rRNA". It matches the Rfam family "Bacterial large subunit ribosomal RNA", at positions 2478 to 2925 of the family's 2925-position model. Lineage: Bacteria; Pseudomonadati; Candidatus Omnitrophota. The record is from RNAcentral.
CAGGCUGAUCUCCCCCAAGAGUUCACAUCGACGGGGAGGUUUGGCACCUCGAUGUCGGCUCAUCGCAUCCUGGGGCUGGAGAAGGUCCCAAGGGUCCGGCUGUUCGCCGGUUAAAGCGGUACGCGAGCUGGGUUUAGAACGUCGCAAGACAGUUCGGUCCCUAUCUGGUGUGGGCGCAGGAGAUUUGAGAGGAUCUGCUUCUAGUACGAGAGGACCGAAGCAGACGAGCCAAUGGUGUUCCAGUUGUUUCGCCAGGAGCAUUGCUGGGUAGCCAAGCUCGGAAAGGAUAAGCGCUGAAAGCAUCUAAGCGCCAAGCCCCCCUCAAGAUUAGAUCUCCCUCUCCGACUUUGUCGGAGUGAAGGCAGCCCGGAGAUAACGGGAUUGAUAGGCUCCAUGUGUAAGUCCAGUAAUGGAUUGAGCAUAGGAGUACUAAUCUGCCGAUCGGCUUAACCCAA